This 85-nucleotide transfer RNA is filed under the name Rhizobium sp. Its description in RNAcentral is "tRNA-Tyr". It matches the Rfam family "tRNA". Rfam says of the family: Transfer RNA (tRNA) molecules are approximately 80 nucleotides in length. Their secondary structure includes four short double-helical elements and three loops (D, anti-codon, and T loops). Lineage: Bacteria; Pseudomonadati; Pseudomonadota; Alphaproteobacteria; Hyphomicrobiales; Rhizobiaceae. The record is from RNAcentral.
GGAGGGAUGCCCGAGUGGUUAAAGGGGACGGACUGUAAAUCCGUUGGCUCAGCCUACGUUGGUUCAAAUCCAACUCUCUCCACCA